Molecule: ribosomal RNA, 497 nt
Filed under: uncultured bacterium
Lineage: Bacteria
Description: partial 16S ribosomal RNA
Rfam family: Bacterial small subunit ribosomal RNA
Source: RNAcentral
GAUGAACGCUGGCGGCAGGCCUAACACAUGCAAGUCGAGCGAAAAGACAAGGAGCGUGUGCCCUUGACGUUGGCGGCGGACGGACGAGUAAGGCGUACGUAACAUACUUAUAAGUCGGGGGGAACAACGGGAAACAGGUGACGAUACUACAGAAUACGUCGAACGGGAGGGAUCAAGAGAUAAUGGGGCCUUUGGUGUCACAAAGAGACGGAGCCGCGCCGGAUUAGCUAGUUGGUAAGGUAACGGCCUACCAAGGCGACGAUCCGUAGCUGACCUGAGAGGGUGAUCGGCCACACUGGAACUGAGACACGGUCCAGACUCCUACGGGAGGCAGCAGUAGGGAAUCUUGCACAAUGGGCGAAAGCCUGACCGAGCCACACCGCGUGAGUGAUGAAGGUCUUCGGAUCGUAAAACCCUGUUAUUAGGGAAGAACAGAUGCAUGUUUAACCGCGGAUGUCUUGACGGUACCUAAACAGUAAGCCCCGGCUAACUACGUG